Molecule: long non-coding RNA, 1403 nt
Organism: Zalophus californianus (California sea lion)
Lineage: Eukaryota; Metazoa; Chordata; Mammalia; Carnivora; Otariidae
Exons: 5
Source: RefSeq, a predicted model, not a curated record
CUGUUCCUGCCAUUUUAAACAUUACAUCUUUUGUUUCCCUCUUUUAUGGCAUUAGGCAGACCCACCCAGUUUAGUGUUGAAUAGGACUGGUGACUGGGGACAUCCUUGUGUUCUCCAGGAUUAGAAAUGGAAAAUUUUCAACAUUUUACCAUGAUGUUCAGUGUACAUUUUUGGUAGAUACACUCUAUCAGAGUAAAGUCCUUCUAGUCUAUUUCUGAGUUGCUGGCAGUAUUCAUCUGAAUAUAUGUUGAAUGUUAGCAAACACAUAGGGAUUUAUUGAGAUGAUCCUAAGAUUUCUUUCCUCUCUUAAUGUGAAUUGCGUUGGCAAGUUUCCCUGUUUAAGCAACUUUGCAUUCCUAGGGCAAAGAACGUGACCAUGGGUGAUCUAUGUCGUAGUGAUUUGUUCAGGAUUUCAACGUAUGUCCUCACGAGUGACACUAGACUGGUUUUUUUAAUGUUUAUAUACUCUGUUGGACUUUGGUAUCAAGCUUAUGCCGGUUUCAUAAAAUGAAUUGGGAUGUAAAAUGUGUUUUUCUAUUUUCUGGAACAUUGAGGUGGUCCGGCUUUUGCUCUGUCUCCGCAGGCAUGGCCAUUGUCUUUCUUGGUGGGCUGUGUGGGUGAGAGGGAAGAUCGGGUGUCUUGGAGCACGAGGGGAGGUAUCUAUGUCCUGGAGGCGCUAAGAAUUGCGGACAGAGGGCGGAUUAAGAAUAGUCAGUGCUGCGGCGACGGGGGAGUGGGGAAGCCUCCCCGCCCCGCCACCGACACCUGGAGCACGCGGUUUUCAGUGCGCCUGCGCAGUAGCAAGUUCUUUUAAAUCCGCCGCCAUUGGCGUGGGAUUCGUGUUGUGCGGUCUGGGGUGCGGAACGGUGCAGGUCGCCUCUUGCCGUCUGGAUUCGUUCUUGCUGUGUGAGACGCAAUUGUGCGAAAUAUGAAUCGGCAAGUAAGGUCAACAUUCAGACCUAGAGCAAGACGAGAUGAUGAAAUACCUUUGCAGCUAGUUGGGCCUGUGUUUGCCCAGCUGCCUCGUGGUGAGCAACCUCAAGGGGAGGAGCCACCGACUGAGAGUCCGGAUAUUAUACCUGAUGGAGAGAAAAAAGAAGGAGCAUCUGUGGUUCAAGGGUCUGCCCCGGAACCUAAUCCAAAGGACCUGGCUGGUGAAAAGACUGGGCGUGAGCGGGGAGAUGGUCCUGAUAUCAAACGGAGGUGACUUGCAAAUCUAGAGCCCCUUAAGAUGCCAGAGGCAGGUGAAGGGAAACCACAGGUUUAAACGAAGACAAGCUGAAGCCACGUGGGCAGUUCUUGUGUUGAAAAAGUGGCUAACAUUCUCUCAGGAAAGUUUGGUUCUUGUGUUGAAAAGUGGCUAAAAUUCUCUCAAUAAACUUUUGUUCUUGUGUUGAAAAGUG